CAGCAGUCGCCGCGGUAAUACGAAGGGUGCAAGCGUUACUCGGAAUUACUGGGCGUAAAGCGUGCGUAGGUGGUGGUUUAAGUCCGUUGUGAAAGCCCUGGGCUCAACCUGGGAAUUGCAGUGGAUACUGGAUCACUAGAGUGUGGUAGAGGAUAGUGGAAUCUCCGGUGUAGCAGUGAAAUGCGUAGAGAUCGGAAGGAACAUCUGUGGCGAAGGCGGCCAUCUGGAACAACACUGACGCUGAGGCACGAAAGCGUGGGGAGCAAACAGGAUUAGAUACCCGCGUAGUCCCUGUCUCUUAUAC
Molecule: ribosomal RNA, 304 nt
Filed under: uncultured bacterium
Lineage: Bacteria
Description: partial 16S ribosomal RNA
Rfam family: Bacterial small subunit ribosomal RNA
Source: RNAcentral